UACGUAGGGUGCAAGCGUUAAUCGGAAUUACUGGGCGUAAAGCGUGCGCAGGCGGCCACUGCAAGUCGGUUGUGAAAUCUCCGGGCUUAACCCGGAAAGGUCAAUCGAUACUGCAGGGCUAGAGUGCAGAAGGGGCAACUGGAAUUCUCGGUGUAGCGGUGAAAUGCGUAGAUAUCGAGAGGAACACCUGCGGCGAAGGCGGGUUGCUGGGCUGACACUGACGCUGAACUGCGAAAGCUAGGGGAGCGAACGGG
This 254-nucleotide ribosomal RNA is filed under the name uncultured prokaryote. RNAcentral describes it as "partial 16S ribosomal RNA". It matches the Rfam family "Bacterial small subunit ribosomal RNA", at positions 524 to 776 of the family's 1533-position model. The record is from RNAcentral.